CUGGACGUAGUGCAGCGGAUGCACACCUGAAGUGGGAUCAGGAGGUCGCAGGUUCGACCCUUGCCGUCCAGACCA
This 75-nucleotide transfer RNA is filed under the name Deinococcus koreensis. Its description in RNAcentral is "tRNA-Pro". It matches the Rfam family "tRNA". From Rfam's summary of the family: Transfer RNA (tRNA) molecules are approximately 80 nucleotides in length. Their secondary structure includes four short double-helical elements and three loops (D, anti-codon, and T loops). Lineage: Bacteria; Thermotogati; Deinococcota; Deinococci; Deinococcales; Deinococcaceae. The record is from RNAcentral.